Xyrauchen texanus (razorback sucker) is the source of this 610-nucleotide long non-coding RNA. RefSeq lists it as uncharacterized. The record is from RefSeq and is a predicted model, not a curated record. Lineage: Eukaryota; Metazoa; Chordata; Actinopteri; Cypriniformes; Catostomidae. The transcript has 3 exons.
GGCGUGCUGAAAACGGAGCUGUUUUUGAGCAGUUAAAAUUUGUGUUUUCUUAAAACACUAAUGAGAAUUUUUAAUAAAAGUAUAUUACAAAGUUUUCAUUUAGACCCUAAAGAUUCAUAUUAACUUGUACAAAAAUGGCAUUAUAUGACCCCUUUAAGGUUACAAAUACACACACACACACACACACUCCAUCAUUGCAAUCUUGACAUUGCAGCCUGUUCAUUAUAGCCGCAAUAAAAUAUAAUAAUAAAAUAGUAAACCUACCAUAUAAAAAUUACUCUGUUUAAAUAGUCAGUAGUACAAUUCGUAUCAUUCACAGUAAGCACCGCUCCACUGUGAUGUUUCCAAGCAUAUUUUUGCGCAUGUAAAGAGGAUGAUUUUCUACGUCGGUAUUGCAGCGUGAGUAAAGUACAAAGCCUAUAAUAACUGGCAGAAGGCAGUAAGAGAAACAGGAAGUCUGUUAUAACUUCUGCAUACAUUAAUUGAUCUCGACGAAACUUCAGCAGUGUGUUCGCUGUAAGAGGCCGAUCGCAUGGAUGUUGCUAUUGUGAGUCAGUUAUAGCGCCACCAACUGGCAGAAGGAAGUGUGUCACUUUCAAAAUGCUUUUAA